UUAAUCCCGGGGUUUUUGUUUUUUUACUAUAAAUCUACGCAAUGAAGAGGCGAUUUUCACUCAGUUGCCAAAUAAUAUUCAAAAUGAUAAGACUGUUCAGUAAGAUUACAUUUGCUCUGAUCAUGUUCUGUGUCUGCAGAGCACAGUGCGAAAUCACUAUAUUACCGGACGUACUCUACUACAAUAUAUCAACAACCCCGCGUGCUGAUCUCUUUCUCCUGCACCAUCAGCGGCAAUUCGGUCUCCGUGUGAAGGAAUUGGAAGAGAGCUUGGCCAACUUCAAGACCAACUUUUAUGCGCGGCUCGAUGUUAUCGCUUUCAAUAUAGAACUGUUGGAGACGAAGUUGGAAGAGGUAGAUAAUAAACUGAAUCCGUUAGUGCUGCUCGAUGACAUCAAUGAUUAUUGUGUACAUAAAUAUCGCGCGAAAUUGCCACAAAUUGCACAGCUGACAACCAAACUGAAAGAAUGUACUCUGAAAGGCAAUAAUGCGUAUUCCGGUCUUGUGUCGGCCGUUGAGACGACUGUGAGAAAUCUGAAAAACUACUACACGAGCACAUUAACGUCAGCAGUGAAUGAUUGCAGGAAGAAGCAUGUCGGCCAUUUUACGGAAACAAAUUACACCCAGUGCAUUUCGACAGCGGUGACCAAUGCCGCUGCAAAGACUUACGCCGAUACGAAUACCUUUCGGAAUCAAAUGAAGACGGCCGAGUGCAAUGCAGCGAUGAAAGUUCGUGAAGUCUUCGAUUGUUAUAAUGUGCAAGUGUUUUCAACUUUCAAAGCGAUUGGUUAGGUUAUGGCUUCGGUGGAGAACUGUAUUGGAGGUCAGGAGUUUUGUCCAACUUGUGGCGAUGAUACCGCGGUCACUAAGGGUCGUUGUCCAUACCACAUGAGCUGGCAUUUGGCGGAUAGUGAUUUGACGAGUGAGAAGAUAAAUAACCCUUUCAAAGGCAUCACGAAAACAACACCCUGUUUACAGUUAAAUUUUAUUACAAAUGGUGUUGCGCUAAAUUGAGUGUUAUUUUCAUUCUUUGCUUAGUAGGUAUGCUUUUGAGAUUAUUAUAUUGUUGCGAAAAUGCGAGGCGAAUGUCAGAUGAAA
This is an RNA transcript of Ceratitis capitata (Mediterranean fruit fly), 1097 nucleotides long. RefSeq lists it as uncharacterized. NCBI's taxonomy places the organism in Eukaryota, Metazoa, Arthropoda, Insecta, Diptera, Tephritidae. The transcript has 2 exons. The record is from RefSeq and is a predicted model, not a curated record.